AGGAUAAUAGUUAAAAAUUAACAUUUAAAUUGCAAUUAAAAAUUAUUGAAUCUCAUUUUAUCUUA
This 65-nucleotide transfer RNA is filed under the name Hoplosaenidea subcostata. Its description in RNAcentral is "tRNA-Ala". The record is from RNAcentral. Lineage: Eukaryota; Metazoa; Arthropoda; Insecta; Coleoptera; Chrysomelidae.